RNAcentral lists this ribosomal RNA (193 nucleotides) under uncultured bacterium. RNAcentral describes it as "partial 16S ribosomal RNA". It matches the Rfam family "Bacterial small subunit ribosomal RNA", at positions 1308 to 1500 of the family's 1533-position model. The record is from RNAcentral.
CAACUCGACUACAUGAAGCUGGAAUCGCUAGUAAUCGCAGAUCAGAAUGCUGCGGUGAAUACGUUCCCGGGUCUUGUACACACCGCCCGUCACACCAUGGGAGUCGGAAAUGCCCGAAGCCGGUGACCCAACCAAAAGGAGGGAGCCGUCGAAGGCAGGUCUGAUAACUGGGGUGAAGUCGUAACAAGGUAGC